GGGCCCGCACAAGCGGUGGAGUAUGUGGUUUAAUUCGAUGCAACGCGAAGAACCUUACCAGGGUUUGACAUCCUGCGAAUCUCUUGGAAACAGGAGAGUGCCUUCGGGAACGCAGUGACAGGUGGUGCAUGGCUGUCGUCAGCUCGUGUCGUGAGAUGUUCGGUUAAGUCCGGCAACGAGCGCAACCCACAUCCCUAGUUGCCAGCAGUUCGGCUGGGCACUCUAUGGAAACUGCCCGUGAUAAACCGGAGGAAGGUGUGGAUGACGUCAAGUCAUCAUGCCCCUUACAUCCUGGGCUACACACGUACUACAAUGCUACGGACAAAGGGCAGCAAACUCGCGAGAGCUAGCAAAUCCCAUAAACCGUGGCUCAGUUCAGAUCGUAGGCUGCAACUCGCCUACGUGAAGGAGGAAUCGCUAG
This 421-nucleotide ribosomal RNA is filed under the name uncultured bacterium. RNAcentral's name for it is "bacterial SSU rRNA". It matches the Rfam family "Bacterial small subunit ribosomal RNA", at positions 917 to 1338 of the family's 1533-position model. The record is from RNAcentral.